UACAGAGGGGGCAAGCGUUGUUCGGAAUUACUGGGCGUAAAGGGCGCGUAGGCGGCCUGUUAAGUCGGACGUGAAAUCCCUCGGCUCAACCGGGGAACUGCGUCCGAUACUGGCGGGCUUGAAUUCGGGAGAGAGAUGUGGAAUUCCAGGUGUAGCGGUGAAAUGCGUAGAUAUCUGGAGGAAUACCGGUGGCGAAGGCGGCAUCCUGGACCGGCAUUGACGCUGAGGAGCGAAAGCUAGGGGAGCAAACGGG
Molecule: ribosomal RNA, 253 nt
Filed under: uncultured bacterium
Lineage: Bacteria
Description: partial 16S ribosomal RNA
Rfam family: Bacterial small subunit ribosomal RNA
Source: RNAcentral